GAUAACCAUUCUUUCCCCGUGCCUUGUUCCACUCCAAGAACAUCAUUCUUCCCAUCACUUAAGAUUCUUAAGAUCCGAGGAUGUCCCAAACUCCAAGGAUGGUGGAGGACAAAGAAUGAGAACCAAGGAUCAACCGCUGAGUUGCCUUGCUUUCCUUGCCUUUCCAAGUUAGAAAUCGAGGACUGCCAAAACUUAACCUCCAUGCCGCUCUUUCCAUUUCUCGACGACGAUUUGACUUUGAAAGGUACUAGUGUAAGGCCUUUGCAACAAACAUUGAAGAUGAAGAUGACCAAGGCUAGCAUGACAUCAGAAGCAUCAUCAUCGAGAAGCACAUGUCAUUCUUAUUCCUAUUCUUCGACUGCCCUUCCUCUCUCCAAUUUGAAGCGCUUGACUCUUGAUUCCAUUAAUGGUCUAGAAGGUCUAUCAGAGGAGUUUCUGCAAAAUCUCACUUCGCUUGUCUACUUACAAUUUAAAUAUGAUUGUCAAUUGCUGCCGCAAAAGAUGAACAGCCUCACCUCUUUACAAGAAUUGCAUAUUGAGUAUUGUCCUGAUCUGAGGGUUUUACCGGACUGGAUACCAAAUCUCACUUCUCUCAUAACACUUACAAUUUGGUAUUGCCCUGAAUUACAAUACUUGCCAGAAGGGAUGCAUCGCCUUGCCUCUUUACAACGAUUGUCUAUUCGAGGAUGUCCCCAAUUGUCAAAAAGAUGUAAAAAGGAGACCGGAAUCCAUUGGCCUCACAUUGCUCACAUCCCAUCUAUUGUAAUUGAUGGGCGAUGAAUUCAAUGUUGAUCAUACUGUAUAGUUUUUCCAGUGAUGGUGAGGACCUGGAGGAGAUAGAUGUGACGUGAAUAUUCUCAUGGAGUUGAUGAAUAGAUUAUUGUCAGUAGUUUCACUUCCCCUGUUUUUAUGCAUGGAUCAAUGCAAAGUCAUCUCAUAUACAAUGAGACAACAUUGGAUUUUCGUGUCAUAUCUUUUCAGAAGCUAAACCAAAAAUAAAUGGAAAACGAUCGUGAGACAGAUUGCUGCUGUCACAGAGAUUCUAAGUAAUUGAAACACUGGUGAAAUAUGGAAUGAAGUAUUAACCUCAGAAUAUUGUUUUUUCCCCAGUUUCCCUGAGGAUUUGCAACUACAAGUUUGUUAGAGGGCUUAUCUCCACUCAAGACUCUUGAGCUGAAAGCUAGAAAUAAUAGAAAACAAUGUGAAAGUCUACUUGUACAUGUCCCGUUGUAUCCUUUGUGACGAGGAGAUUUUGCUAUGGGUAAUGUUUCCUACUCUUCCAGUUGUAGGAACUUGCUCUUGUAAAGAAUAUA
Theobroma cacao (cacao) is the source of this 1313-nucleotide non-coding RNA. NCBI's taxonomy places the organism in Eukaryota, Viridiplantae, Streptophyta, Magnoliopsida, Malvales, Malvaceae. The record is from RefSeq and is a predicted model, not a curated record.